Molecule: ribosomal RNA, 253 nt
Filed under: uncultured bacterium
Lineage: Bacteria
Description: partial 16S ribosomal RNA
Rfam family: Bacterial small subunit ribosomal RNA
Source: RNAcentral
UACGUAGGUGGCAAGCGUUGUCCGGAUUUAUUGGGUUUAAAGGGUGCGUAGGCGGCUCCUUAAGUCAGCGGUGAAAGCCCGGGGCUCAACCCCGGAACCGCCGUUGAUACUGGGGGGCUUGAGUAUGGACGAGGUUGGCGGAAUUGAGGGUGUAGCGGUGAAAUGCUUAGAUACCCUCAAGAACACCGAUUGCGUAGGCAGCUAACUAGGCCAUAACUGACGCUGAGGCACGAAAGCGUGGGGAGCGAACAGG